UUGAGAGAGAAAGACUUGAGCUCGGAAGAAAAUUUCUUUUCUUUUGGAGUGAACAGUUUUUCUCCAGAAUGCACCUAUUUAUAGAACAAGGUGAGCAGAUCUCCACCGUUGGAUGAACGAUCUCAGAAUUUGAAUCCACGCGUUGGAUUAAAGUCGCCCCGAAAACCGGAAAAGCUGUUGGCGCGUGUUGAGCGUGUAAGGGGACCGAGGGAAUCUCGAGGCGCUGUGGCAGACAGCUGUAGCCGAAAGCAGAUUUGACUUUCCGUAAAUCACGGAAGAGACGUGUCGUGGCACGUGGAGUGUACCGACAGUUUGUGUUUAUUCUAUUGCUUUUGAUAGAAUAAAUAAAAGAAUUGUGAGGACAACAGCGAGAGCAGCUGGUGCUCUAGUGGUUGAAGAGCAAAGCUCUUGUACAAGAGGUCAGAGGUUCGAACCUUGCCUCUCGUUUAUUUUUAUUAUGUUCGCUUAUGACAUAAUAAGUAAAACAUUUGUACACAUUAUAUUAAGCACAGCUUGUGCUCCAGUGGUUGGUGGGCAAAGCCCUUGUGCAGCAGGUUAAGGUUUCGAACCUUGCCUCCCCCGUUAUUUUAUUUAUGUCACUUAUGACAUAAUAAAUAUAACACGUGAGCAUAUAUUAAUGAAGGCAGCUCUUGCUUCAGUGGUUGGGAGCAAAACCUUCGUGUUCGAGGUCGGGAGUUCGAACCUUACCUCUUACAAAUAUUUUUGGAUCUCGUAUAUGCUUGAUAUACGGACGUAUAUACGGUAUGUACGGUAUACAUACGUAUAUACGGUCUGUAUGGUAUGCAUACGUAUAUACAGUUGUACGGUAUGCAUACGUAUAUACGGUCUGUACGGUAUGUAUACGUAUAUACGGUAUGUACAAUUUCAUACCGUAGCCGAGCUGGAAGUUGGUGGGCCGAUUGGUAGGCCCAAAUAGUAAGCCCAAUUGUUCGGCCCGAUUGGUAGGCCCAAAUGGUAGGCCCAAAUGUUAAGCCCAAUCGUUCGGCCCGAAUAGUAGGCCCAAAUGUUAAACCCAAAGUGGUUUGGGCCGGUUCGAAAUGUGGAUGGUCCGAUUUCUUCAGGCCCAAUUGGCCAGCCCUAAUGCUUAGCCAAGGAUUGAGCAAGCCCAAGUCAUCAUCACUGGGUGUCAGAUUUUAUUGGCAUGCUUUUGGGGAUGAUUUGUUUUGAGUGAUGCAUCUCUAUUGUUGUGUAGAAUAGUGCAUGCUUAAGUUUUACUAUAGAGAUUUACCGUGAUGCUAAUUGAGUAGCGAAACGCUUUGUGAGAAUGUUUACUGUGCUUGUAUGCCAGUACAGGAUGAUGAUCUAUGUGAAUAUCUAUGUGAAGAUCUAUGUGAUGAUCUAUGAGAUGAUCUAUGUGAAUAUCUAUGUGAAGAUCUAUGUGAUGAUCUAUGAGAUGAUCUAUGUGAGGAUCCAUGUGGUGAUUUUGUGUGAGUUUACUUUUGUGAUGAAAGGAUUUAGUGGCCUUAGGAAUGUAUUUUUAUACAAAGGGCUGUGGCUUUGUAGAUUACUACAGCUUUGGAAAGGAUGGAGAUUCGAUGGUUAGGUUAACCGUAAUCGAGAGCAAUUAACUUGCGCUUAAAUUUCGGGACGAAAUUUCUUUAAGGAGGGUGGAUUGUAAUACCCGAAAAAUUCAAGUUAAUUUCCGAUGACGUUUUGGAAAUGAUUUCGUGGUCGUGGACACGAGUACGAAGCUUAGAGGAGUGUGGAAUUAGUUCGAACGAUUUUAUUUCGAAAACUGAACGUUUUAGGGGAGGUCAAAGGUGUUGACUUUUUAUACAUUGGGAAUUUGGGAAAACUUCCUUCAUGAAAGUUGUAGAGCUCGUCGAUACGAUCUCGUGCAUAUGUGGAACGCAAAAAUCGGAGUUCGUAUGAGAAAGUUAUGAUCAAUUGAAAUUUGGGGAAAUUUCUAUAAAUAGCAAAAAAAUCCCGAAAAUUUCCAUUUCUGCAGAUUUUUCUCUCCCGAGCCCAGAUUUCGGCCUCUCUCUUCCACCGGCCAUAUCUCCCUCCACAGACCUCCGAUCGACUUGAUUUCAAAAGCAUUUUCAUUCGCCUUGAAGUCAGUUAAAACUUCCUAGAAGACAUAAAAGUGAGAAAAGAACCAUGGAAGGCGCUAGGAGGCCGAGAAGCUGCACAGCUCGAGCUGGAAUUCGCCCGAUGCUGCUCUUCCUUCACCGGCCGAUAUCUCUCUCAUCCGACCUCGAAUCGAGUUGAUUCCAAAAGGGAUUUUGUUGGGCUUGAGCUAUAUUACAACUUUGUAGAAGACAUCGAGGGGAAAUAACCAACGUGGUAGCCGCUACAAGUCGAAGAACACGGUGCAGUCGAGCUGGAAAUCGUCUUCCUUCGCCACCUUGGUUCUCCCAGCUCCGGCCACUAUAGCUCGAGUUCUUUGAGGGCUUUUCUAGCCCAGAGGAAGUAGAAGCUAUCCCCAAGAAGGCUUGCAGCGAUUUGAUCCGGGGUGAUCGAAUUUUGGAGUUUUGAAACUAGGGUUCAUCGGAUCCGUCGACUUCCAAGGUGAUUGACGGUCUCCCUUGGGUGAAAGAUUUCGGUGUGUAUUGUGUUGAAUUGAAGACGCAGCGGGAAUAUCGAGCGGGUAAUCCUACAGGACAGGAGAACCAGGACGGUGAUCGUGCGGUUAGAGCAAUUGUUAGAGUUUUACAACAAUUGUAAGUUGUGAGGUGUGUUAUGCUCAUUUGAGCUUUAUAAUAUAUUGUGAGAGUGAAUUGUAAUAAUGAACUCGAAGUUUCGAGAUUUGGUUUUUUUGUAAUUGUAAUUAUUCAGGUUUCGGAUUUGAA
Molecule: long non-coding RNA, 2813 nt
Organism: Rosa rugosa (rugosa rose)
Lineage: Eukaryota; Viridiplantae; Streptophyta; Magnoliopsida; Rosales; Rosaceae
Exons: 2
Source: RefSeq, a predicted model, not a curated record